GGGCCCGCACAAGCGGUGGAGUAUGUGGUUUAAUUCGAUGCAACGCGAAGAACCUUACCAGGGUUUGACAUCCUGCGAAUCUCUUGGAAACAGGAGAGUGCCUUCGGGAACGCAGUGACAGGUGGUGCAUGGCUGUCGUCAGCUCGUGUUGUGAGAUGUUGGGGUUCAAGUCCCAGCAACGAGCGCAACCCACGUCUUUAGUUGCCAGCAGUUCGGCUGGGCACUCUAUGGAAACUGCCCGUGAUAAGCGGGAGGAAGGUGUGGAUGACGUCAAGUCCUCAUGGCCCUUACGGGUUGGGCUACACACGUGCUACAAUGGCAUCUACAGUGGGUUAAUCCCCAAAAUGAUGUCU
RNAcentral lists this ribosomal RNA (353 nucleotides) under uncultured bacterium. RNAcentral's name for it is "bacterial SSU rRNA". It matches the Rfam family "Bacterial small subunit ribosomal RNA", at positions 917 to 1288 of the family's 1533-position model. The record is from RNAcentral.